Long non-coding RNA from Aricia agestis (brown argus), 105 nucleotides. RefSeq lists it as uncharacterized. Lineage: Eukaryota; Metazoa; Arthropoda; Insecta; Lepidoptera; Lycaenidae. The transcript has 3 exons. The record is from RefSeq and is a predicted model, not a curated record.
GUUUCUUUGUAUUCUGUAUCAAAUAGGUACUUUUUCUCCAUACAUGCGUUUAUAUUGCCUACUACUUCGGAACCUCAUGUGUUGCUAAAUAAUAAACCUUUGAAA